CGAGCUUGCUCGCAUGGUAGGAGAGCGUUCCGUAAGCCUGCGAAGGUGCCUUGUAAAGGGUGCUGGAGGUAUCGGAAGUGCGAAUGCUGACAUGAGUAGCGAUAAAGGGGGUGAAAGGCCCCCUCGCCGUAAGCCCAAGGUUUCCUACGCAACGUUCAUCGGCGUAGGGUGAGUCGGCCCCUAAGGCGAGGCAGAAAUGCGUAGCUGAUGGGAAGCAGGUCAAUAUUCCUGCACCAUUGUUAGAUGCGAUGGGGGGACGGAUCGCGGAAGGUUGUCCGGGUGUUGGAAGUCCCGGUCGCUGCAUUGGAGAAGGCGCUUAGGCAAAUCCGGGCGCAGGAUUCAAGGGUGUGGCGCGAGCUCCUUAGGGAGCGAAGCAAUUGGAAGUGGUUCCAAGAAAAGCCUCUAAGCUUCAGUCUAACGAUGACCGUACCGCAAACCGACACAGGUGGGCGAGAUGAGUAUUCUAAGGCGCUUGAGAGAACUCGGGAGAAGGAACUCGGCAAAUUGGUACCGUAACUUCGGGAUAAGGUACGCCCUUGUAGCUUGACUGGCCUGCGCCAGGAGGGUGAAGGGGUUGCAAUAAACUGGUGGCUGCGACUGUUUAAUAAAAACACAGCACUCUGCAAACACGAAAGUGGACGUAUAGGGUGUGACGCCUGCCCGGUGCCGGAAGAUUAAAUGAUGGGGUGCAAGCUCUUGAUUGAAGUCCCGGUAAACGGCGGCCGUAACUAUAACGGUCCUAAGGUAGCGAAAUUCCUUGUCGGGUAAGUUCCGACCUGCACGAAUGGCGUAACGAUGGCCACACUGUCUCCUCCCGAGACUCAGCGAAGUUGAAGUGUUUGUGAUGAUGCAAUCUACCCGCGGCUAGACGGAAAGACCCCAUGAACCUUUACUGUAGCUUUGCAUUGGACUUUGAACCGAUCUGUGUAGGAUAGGUGGGAGGCUAUGAAACCGGAACGCUAGUUUCGGUGGAGCCGUCCUUGAAAUACCACCCUGGUUUGUUUGAGGUUCUAACCUUGGCCCGUGAUCCGGGUCGGGGACAGUGCAUGGUAGGCAGUUUGACUGGGGCGGUCUCCUCCCAAAGCGUAACGGAGGAGUACGAAGGUACGCUAGGUACGGUCGGAAAUCGUGCUGAUAGUGCAAUGGCAUAAGCGUGCUUAACUGCGAGACCGACAAGUCGAGCAGGUGCGAAAGCAGGUCAUAGUGAUCCGGUGGUUCUGUAUGGAAGGGCCAUCGCUCAACGGAUAAAAGGUACUCUGGGGAUAACAGGCUGAUACCGCCCAAGAGUUCAUAUCGACGGCGGUGUUUGGCACCUCGAUGUCGGCUCAUCUCAUCCUGGGGCUGUAGCCGGUCCCAAGGGUAUGGCUGUUCGCCAUUUAAAGAGGUACGUGAGCUGGGUUUAAAACGUCGUGAGACAGUUUGGUCCCUAUCUGCCGUGGGCGUUGGAUAUUUGAAGGGGGCUGCUCCUAGUACGAGAGGACCGGAGUGGACGAACCUCUGGUGUACCGGUUGUCACGCCAGUGGCAUCGCCGGGUAGCUAUGUUCGGAAGAGAUAACCGCUGAAAGCAUCUAAGCGGGAAACUCGCCUUAAGAUGAGAUAUCCCUGGGGACUAGAUCCCCUUGAAGGGUCGUUCGAGACCAGGACGUUGAUAGGUCAGGUGUGUAAGCGCAGUAAUGCGUUCAGCUAACUGAUACUAAUUGCCCGUAAGGCUUGAUCCU
This 1719-nucleotide ribosomal RNA is filed under the name Burkholderia cenocepacia K56-2Valvano. RNAcentral's name for it is "bacterial LSU rRNA". It matches the Rfam family "Bacterial large subunit ribosomal RNA", at positions 1209 to 2925 of the family's 2925-position model. The record is from RNAcentral. Lineage: Bacteria; Pseudomonadati; Pseudomonadota; Betaproteobacteria; Burkholderiales; Burkholderiaceae.